This 808-nucleotide ribosomal RNA is filed under the name uncultured Chromatiales bacterium. RNAcentral's name for it is "bacterial SSU rRNA". It matches the Rfam family "Bacterial small subunit ribosomal RNA", at positions 8 to 796 of the family's 1533-position model. The record is from RNAcentral. Lineage: Bacteria; Pseudomonadati; Pseudomonadota; Gammaproteobacteria; Chromatiales.
AGAGUUUGAUCAUGGCUCAGAUUGAACGCUGGCGGCAUGCCUAACACAUGCAAGUCGAACGGUAACAGGCCGCAAGGUGCUGACGAGUGGCGGACGGGUGAGUAAUACGUAGGUAUCUGCCCUGUAGUGGGGGAUAACCCGGGGAAACUCGGGCUAAUACCGCAUACGCUCUUUUAUCGUUGAGAUAGGAGAGGAAAGCGAGGGACCGAAAGGCCUCGCGCUAGAGGAUGAGCCUACGCCCGAUUAGCUAGUUGGUAGGGUAAAAGCCUACCAAGGCGACGAUCGGUAGCUGGUCUGAGAGGAUGGCCAGCCACACUGGGACUGAGACACGGCCCAGACUCCUACGGGAGGCAGCAGUGGGGAAUAUUGGACAAUGGGGGGAAACCCUGAUCCAGCGAUGCCGCGUGGGUGAAGAAGGCCUGCGGGUUGUAAAGCCCUUUCAGUGGGGAAGAAAAACGGGGUGUGAACAGCGCUUCGUUUUGACGUUACCCACAGAAGAAGCACCGGCUAACUCCGUGCCAGCAGCCGCGGUAAUACGGAGGGUGCGAGCGUUAAUCGGAAUUACUGGGCGUAAAGGGGCGCGUAGGCGGUUAGGUAAGUCGAGUGUGAAAGCCCUGGGCUUAACCUGGGAAUGGCAUUCGAGACUACCUAUCUAGAGUCUGGUAGAGGGAAGUGGAAUUUCCGGUGUAGCGGUGAAAUGUGUAGAUAUCGGAAGGAACACCAGUGGCGAAGGCGGCUCGCUGGGCCAUUCCUGACGCUGAGACGCGAAAGCUAGGGGAGCGAACAGGAUUAGAUACCCUGGUAGUCC